Molecule: ribosomal RNA, 253 nt
Filed under: uncultured bacterium
Lineage: Bacteria
Description: partial 16S ribosomal RNA
Rfam family: Bacterial small subunit ribosomal RNA
Source: RNAcentral
UACAGAGGGGGCAAGCGUUGUUCGGAAUCAUUGGGCGUAAAGCGCGUGUAGGCGGCUUGGCAAGUCAGUUGUGAAAGCCCGGGGCCCAACCCCGAAACUGCAUCUGAAACUGCUUGGCUCGAGUCCCGGAGAGGAAGGCAGAAUUCCCGGUGUAGGGGUGAAAUCCGUAGAUAUCGGGAGGAAUACCAGCGGCGAAGGCGGCCUUCUGGACGGUGACUGACGCUGAGACGCGAAAGCGUGGGGAGCAAACAGG